Molecule: ribosomal RNA, 724 nt
Filed under: uncultured bacterium
Lineage: Bacteria
Description: bacterial SSU rRNA
Rfam family: Bacterial small subunit ribosomal RNA
Source: RNAcentral
CAGGAUUAGAUACCCUGGUAGUCCACGCCGUAAACGAUGUCGACUUGGAGGCUGUUCCCUUGAGGAGUGGCUUCCGGAGCUAACGCGUUAAGUCGACCGCCUGGGGAGUACGGCCGCAAGGUUAAAACUCAAAUGAAUUGACGGGGGCCCGCACAAGCGGUGGAGCAUGUGGUUUAAUUCGAUGCAACGCGAAGAACCUUACCUGGCCUUGACAUCCAGAGAACUUUCCAGAGAUGGAUUGGUGCCUUCGGGAACUCUGAGACAGGUGCUGCAUGGCUGUCGUCAGCUCGUGUUGUGAAAUGUUGGGUUAAGUCCCGCAACGAGCGCAACCCUUAUCCUUUGUUGCCAGCGAUUCGGUCGGGAACUCAAAGGAGACUGCCGGUGAUAAACCGGAGGAAGGUGGGGAUGACGUCAAGUCAUCAUGGCCCUUACGGCCAGGGCUACACACGUGCUACAAUGGCGCAUACAAAGAGAAGCGACCUCGCGAGAGCAAGCGGACCUCAUAAAGUGCGUCGUAGUCCGGAUCGGAGUCUGCAACUCGACUCCGUGAAGUCGGAAUCGCUAGUAAUCGUGGAUCAGAACGCCACGGUGAAUACGUUCCCGGGCCUUGUACACACCGCCCGUCACACCAUGGGAGUGGGUUGCAAAAGAAGUAGGUAGCUUAACCUUCGGGAGGGCGCUUACCACUUUGUGAUUCAUGACUGGGGUGAAGUCGUAACAAGGU